CCACAAGGGAGAUUUCUUCCAGAGAGAGGAUAGAGUUAUUAAGUCUAAAGUCCAUUAUUUGCUUUUGUCCUUCAUGAAAAGAUGGUCCUGUCUCUGGGUGGAUCUAACAAGGAUCCUGGAACUCCAGGGGUAUUUUUUAAUUCUUACCGGAUUCGAUCCUGGCUUUAAAUCAAUUCUCACAGGUUCUGCUUUCUGGAUUUACCGGGAACUUCCCAGUCCAGACGAUUGGAAUUACAGCAUUAUAUUUUGACUGUUUAGCUGUAACCAGAGGUUCUGCUGGGAGACUCCCCUCCGGUCCCCGUCAGAUAGGUUCACUUAAAAAGAACAAAUCUACAUAUGGCACUUUAUUCCAUUUACUCUCUAACCUACAAAACAACAGUAAUUGCAAUAUAGUA
Harpia harpyja (harpy eagle) is the source of this 395-nucleotide long non-coding RNA. RefSeq lists it as uncharacterized. The transcript has 4 exons. NCBI's taxonomy places the organism in Eukaryota, Metazoa, Chordata, Aves, Accipitriformes, Accipitridae. The record is from RefSeq and is a predicted model, not a curated record.